This 253-nucleotide ribosomal RNA is filed under the name uncultured bacterium. RNAcentral's name for it is "partial 16S ribosomal RNA". It matches the Rfam family "Bacterial small subunit ribosomal RNA", at positions 524 to 776 of the family's 1533-position model. The record is from RNAcentral.
UACAGAGGGGGCAAGCGUUGUUCGGAAUUACUGGGCGUAAAGGGCGCGUAGGCGGCCCGCUAAGUCGAACGUGAAAUCCCUGGGCUCAACCCAGGAACUGCGUCUGAUACUGGCGGGCUUGAAUCCGGGAGAGGGAUGUGGAAUUCCAGGUGUAGCGGUGAAAUGCGUAGAUAUCUGGAGGAACACCGGUGGCGAAGGCGGCAUCCUGGACCGGUAUUGACGCUGAUGCGCGAAAGCCAGGGGAGCAAACGGG